Long non-coding RNA from Etheostoma spectabile (orangethroat darter), 146 nucleotides. RefSeq lists it as uncharacterized. The transcript has 3 exons. The record is from RefSeq and is a predicted model, not a curated record. Lineage: Eukaryota; Metazoa; Chordata; Actinopteri; Perciformes; Percidae.
AUAUUAUCACGAUACUUGAUAUCAUGAUCCAGUAUUAUUGCGAUUUUAAACACAUUGCGAUAUUCCGCGAUAUAUUGCAAUUCAUUAUCUAUUUUCCCAACUUCAAAUGAUGUCACCAAAAGGAUAACUCUGUGUCUUUCUGGCUU